UUAAGUUAUUAAGGGCGCACGGUGGAUGCCUUGGCACUAGAAGCCGAUGAAGGACGUUACUAACGACGAUAUGCUUUGGGGAGCUGUAAGUAAGCUUUGAUCCAGAGAUUUCCGAAUGGGGAAACCCAGCAUGAGUUAUGUCAUGUUAUCGAUAUGUGAAUACAUAGCAUAUCAGAAGGCACACCCGGAGAACUGAAACAUCUUAGUACCCGGAGGAAGAGAAAGAAAAUUCGAUUCCCUUAGUAGCGGCGAGCGAAACGGGAAGAGCCCAAACCAACAAGCUUGCUUGUUGGGGUUGUAGGACACUCUAUACGGAGUUACAAAGGACGACAUUAGACGAAUCAUCUGGAAAGAUGAAUCAAAGAAGGUAAUAAUCCUGUAGUCGAAAAUGUUGUCUCUCUUGAGUGGAUCCUGAGUACGACGGAGCACGUGAAAUUCCGUCGGAAUCUGGGAGGACCAUCUCCUAAGGCUAAAUACUCUCUAGUGACCGAUAGUGAACCAGUACCGUGAGGGAAAGGUGAAAAGCACCCCGGAAGGGGAGUGAAAUAGAACCUGAAACCGUGUGCUUACAAGUAGUCAGAGCCCGUUAAUGGGUGAUGGCGUGCCUUUUGUAGAAUGAACCGGCGAGUUACGAUUUGAUGCAAGGUUAAGCAGUAAAUGUGGAGCCGUAGCGAAAGCGAGUCUGAAUAGGGCGUUUAGUAUUUGGUCGUAGACCCGAAACCAGGUGAUCUACCCUUGGUCAGGUUGAAGUUCAGGUAACACUGAAUGGAGGACCGAACCGACUUACGUUGAAAAGUGAGCGGAUGAACUGAGGGUAGCGGAGAAAUUCCAAUCGAACCUGGAGAUAGCUGGUUCUCUCUGAAAUAGCUUUAGGGCUAGCCUCAAGUGAUGAUUAUUGGAGGUAGAGCACUGUUUGGACGAGGGGCCCCUCUCGGGUUACCGAAUUCAGACAAACUCCGAAUGCCAAUUAAUUUAACUUGGGAGUCAGAACAUGGGUGAUAAGGUCCGUGUUCGAAAGGGAAACAGCCCAGACCACCAGCUAAGGUCCCAAAAUAUAUGUUAAGUGGAAAAGGAUGUGGCGUUGCCCAGACAACUAGGAUGUUGGCUUAGAAGCAGCCAUCAUUUAAAGAGUGCGUAAUAGCUCACUAGUCGAGUGACACUGCGCCGAAAAUGUACCGGGGCUAAACAUAUUACCGAAGCUGUGGAUUGUCCUUUGGACAAUGGUAGGAGAGCGUUCUAAGGGCGUUGAAGCAUGAUCGUAAGGACAUGUGGAGCGCUUAGAAGUGAGAAUGCCGGUGUGAGUAGCGAAAGACGGGUGAGAAUCCCGUCCACCGAUUGACUAAGGUUUCCAGAGGAAGGCUCGUCCGCUCUGGGUUAGUCGGGUCCUAAGCUGAGGCCGACAGGCGUAGGCGAUGGAUAACAGGUUGAUAUUCCUGUACCACCUAUAAUCGUUUUAAUCGAUGGGGGGACGCAGUAGGAUAGGCGAAGCGUGCGAUUGGAUUGCACGUCUAAGCAAUAAGGCUGAGUAUUAGGCAAAUCCGGUACUCGUUAAGGCUGAGCUGUGAUGGGGAGAAGACAUUGUGUCUUCGAGUCGUUGAUUUCACACUGCCGAGAAAAGCCUCUAGAUAGAAAAUAGGUGCCCGUACCGCAAACCGACACAGGUAGUCAAGAUGAGAAUUCUAAGGUGAGCGAGCGAACUCUCGUUAAGGAACUCGGCAAAAUGACCCCGUAACUUCGGGAGAAGGGGUGCUCUUUAGGGUUAACGCCCAGAAGAGCCGCAGUGAAUAGGCCCAAGCGACUGUUUAUCAAAAACACAGGUCUCUGCUAAACCGUAAGGUGAUGUAUAGGGGCUGACGCCUGCCCGGUGCUGGAAGGUUAAGAGGAGUGGUUAGCUUCUGCGAAGCUACGAAUCGAAGCCCCAGUAAACGGCGGCCGUAACUAUAACGGUCCUAAGGUAGCGAAAUUCCUUGUCGGGUAAGUUCCGACCCGCACGAAAGGCGUAACGAUUUGGGCACUGUCUCAACGAGAGACUCGGUGAAAUCAUAGUACCUGUGAAGAUGCAGGUUACCCGCGACAGGACGGAAAGACCCCGUGGAGCUUUACUGUAGCCUGAUAUUGAAAUUCGGCACAGCUUGUACAGGAUAGGUAGGAGCCUUUGAAACGUGAGCGCUAGCUUACGUGGAGGCGCUGGUGGGAUACUACCCUAGCUGUGUUGGCUUUCUAACCCGCACCACUUAUCGUGGUGGGAGACAGUGUCAGGCGGGCAGUUUGACUGGGGCGGUCGCCUCCUAAAAGGUAACGGAGGCGCUCAAAGGUUCCCUCAGAAUGGUUGGAAAUCAUUCAUAGAGUGUAAAGGCAUAAGGGAGCUUGACUGCGAGACCUACAAGUCGAGCAGGGUCGAAAGACGGACUUAGUGAUCCGGUGGUUCCGCAUGGAAGGGCCAUCGCUCAACGGAUAAAAGCUACCCCGGGGAUAACAGGCUUAUCUCCCCCAAGAGUUCACAUCGACGGGGAGGUUUGGCACCUCGAUGUCGGCUCAUCGCAUCCUGGGGCUGUAGUCGGUCCCAAGGGUUGGGCUGUUCGCCCAUUAAAGCGGUACGCGAGCUGGGUUCAGAACGUCGUGAGACAGUUCGGUCCCUAUCCGUCGUGGGCGUAGGAAAUUUGAGAGGAGCUGUCCUUAGUACGAGAGGACCGGGAUGGACAUACCUCUGGUGUACCAGUUGUCGUGCCAACGGCAUAGCUGGGUAGCUAUGUGUGGACGGGAUAAGUGCUGAAAGCAUCUAAGCAUGAAGCCCCCCUCAAGAUGAGAUUUCCCAACUUCGGUUAUAAGAUCCCUCAAAGAUGAUGAGGUUAAUAGGUUCGAGGUGGAAGCAUGGUGACAUGUGGAGCUGACGAAUACUAAUCGAUCGAAGACUUAAUCAA
This 2921-nucleotide ribosomal RNA is filed under the name Staphylococcus aureus M0864. RNAcentral's name for it is "bacterial LSU rRNA". It matches the Rfam family "Bacterial large subunit ribosomal RNA". The record is from RNAcentral. Lineage: Bacteria; Bacillati; Bacillota; Bacilli; Caryophanales; Staphylococcaceae.